ACGACUCUCGGCAACGGAUAUCUCGGCUCUUACAUCGAUGAAGAACAUAGUGAAAUGCGAUACCUGGUGUGAAUUGCAUAAUCCCGUGAACCAUCGAGUCUUUGAAUGCAAGUUGUGCCCGAGGCCAUGCGGCUAAGGGCACGCCUACCUGAGCGUCAUGCUUUCGACGUUUCGUCAUUGCUCCCUCAAGGGGUGGGGGCGAACGCGGAGGAUGGCCCCUCGUGCAGGAAGGUGCGGUUGGCCGACGAGCGGGCCGUCGGUGGUUGUCGAACACAACACGUGGUGGAUGCCUUGUGCGAGUCGUACGUCGUGCCUUGGGGACCCGGGCGAGGCCUCGAGGACCCAAGUCGUGGUGCGAGUCGAUGCCACAGACCGCGACCCCAGGUCAGAUGGGGCUACCCGCUGAGUUUAAGCAUAUAAUAAGCGGAGGAGAAGAAACUUAUGAGGAUUCCCUUAGUAACGGCUAGCAAACCAAGAUCAGCCCAGCUUGACAAUCGGGCGGCUGCGUCGUCUGAAUUGUAGUCUGGAGAAGCGUCCUCAGUGACGGACCGGGCCCAUGUCCGCAGGAAAGGAGCAUCGGGGAGGUUGAGAGCCCUGUCCGGCUCGGACCCUAUCGCACCACGAGGUGUUGUCGAUGAGUCGGGUUCUUUGGGAAUGCAGCCCCAAUCGGGCGGUAAAUUUCGUCCAAGACUAAAUAUGGGCGAGAGACCGAUAGCGAACAAGUACCGCGACGGAAAGAUGAAAAGGACUUUGAAAAGAGAGUCAAAGAGUGCUUGAAAUUGCUGAGAGGGAAGCGGAUGGGGGCCGACGAUGCACCUCGGUCGGAUGCGGAAUGGCGGUUAGUCGGUCCGUCGCUCGGCUCGGGGUGCGGAUCGAUGCGGGCUGCAUCGACGGCCAAAGCCUGGAUGGAUCGUUCGUUCGGGGGGAUACCAUCGAUGCAGUCGAGGACAUGAUGUGCACCAUCUAGUAGCCGGUUCCCUCCAAAGUUUCCCUCAGGAUAGCUGGAGCCCACGUGCGAGUUCUAUCGGGUAAAGCCAAUGAUUAGAGGCAUCGGGGGCGCAACGCCCUCAACCUAUUCUCAAACUUUAAAUAGGUAGGAUGGCGCGGCUGCUUCUUUGAGCCGCAUCGCUGAAUUGAGAGCUCUAAGUGAACCAGAAGCCUAGUUACGAUGCCCAACUGCGCACUAACCCAGACACCACAAAGGGUGUUGGUCGAUUAAGACAGCAGGACGGUGGUCAUGGAAGUCGAAAUCUGCUUAGGAGUGUGUAACAACUCAUCUACCGAAUCAACUAGCCCCGAAAAUGGAUGGCGCUGAAGCGCGUGACCCACACCUGGCCAUUGGGGCUAGCGCCAAGCCCCGAUGAGUAGGAGGGCAUGACGAUCAUCGCAAAACCCAGGGCGCGAGCCCGGGCGGAGCGGCCGUCGGUGCAGGUCUUGGUGGUAGUAGCAAAUAUUCAAAUGUGAACAUUGUAGGCCGAAGAGGGGAAAGGUUCCAUGUGAAUGGCACUUGCAGAUGGGUUAGCCGAUCCUACGGGACGGGGGAAGCCCGUCCAAGAGCAUGUCUCCGCGCAAGCUCCGAAAUGGAAUCGGGUUAAAAUUCCCGAGCCGGGAGGCGGCGGCGGACGGCAACGUUAGGAAGUCCGGAGACGCCGGUUGGGGCCCCGGGAAGAGUUAUCUUUUCAGCUUAACGGCCCACCCACCCUGGAAACGGCUCAGCCGGAGGUAGGGUCCAGCGGUCGGAAGAGCGCCGCACGUCGCGCGGCGUUUGGUGUGCCCCCGGCGGCCCUUGAAAAUCCGGAGGACCGAGUGCCGCCCACGCCCGGUCGUACUAAUAACCGCAUCAGGUCUCCAACGUGAACAUCCUCUGGCCAAUGGAACAAUGUAAGGAAGGGAAGUCGGCAAAAUGGAUCCGUAACUUCGGGAAAAGGAUUGGCUCUGAGGGAUGAGCAUGGGGGUCCCGACCCCGAACCCGUCAGUUGUCGGCGGACUGCUUAAGCUGCUCUCACGGCAAGAUUGGGUCUCUGCGCGCCGACCGGGGGACAGAUCGGGAACGGCCCCCUCGGGGGCCUCCCCCGGGAGUCGAACAGCUGACUCAGAACUGGUACGGACAAGGGGAAUCCGACUGUUUAAUUAAAACAAAGCAUUGCGAUGGUCCCCGCGGAUGCACACGCAAUGUGAUUUCUGCCCAGUGCUCUGAAUGUCAAAGUGAAGAAAUUCAACCAGGCGGGGUAAAUGGCGGGAGUAAUUAUGACUCUCUUAAGGUAGCCAAAUGCCUCGUCAUCUAAUUAGUGACACGCAUAAAUGGAUUAACGAGAUUCCCACUGCCACUGUCUACUAUCCAGCGAAACCACAGCCAAGGGAACGAGCUUGGCAUAAUCAGCGGGGAAAGAAGACCCUGUUGAGCUUGACUAUAGUCCGACUUUGUGAAAUGACUUGAGAGGUGUAGGAUAAGUGGGAGCUGGUUCACCGUCGGAAGUGAAAUACCACUACUUUUAACGUUAUUUUACUUAUUCCGUGAGUCGGAGGCGUGGCUCGACCCCUCCUUUUGGACCCAAGGCCCGCCUAGCGGGCCGAUCCGGGCGGAAGACAUUGUCAGGUGGGGAGUUUGGCUAGGGCGGCACAUAUGUUAAAAGAUAACACAGGUGUCCUAAGAUGAGCUCAACAAGAACAAAAAUCUCGUGUGGAACAAAAGGGUAAAAGCUCGUUUGAUUGUGAUUUCCAGUACGAAUACGAACCGUGGAAGCAUGACCUAUCGAUCCUUUAGACCUUCGGAAUUUGAAGCUAGAGGUGUUAGAAAAGUUACCACAGGGAUAUCUGGCUUGUGGCAGCCAAGCAUUCAUAGCGACGUUGCUUUUUGAUCCUUCGAUAUCGGCUCUUCCUAUCAUUGUGAAGCAGAAUUCACCAAGUGUUGGAUUGUUCACCCACCAAUAGGGUACAUGAGCUGGGUUUAGACUGUCAUGAGACAGGUUAGUUUAACCCUACUAAUGAUUGUGCUGCGAUAGUAAUUCAAUCUAGUAUGAGGGGAACUGUUGAUUCACACAAUUGGUCAUCGCGCUUGGUUGAAAAGCCUAUGGCGCGAAGCUACCGUGUCGGAUUAUGACUGAAUGCCUCUAAGUUAGAAUCCUAGCUAGCAACCGGCGCUCUCACUCGUCGUUCGCCUCCCGACCCACAGUAGGGGCCUUUGGCCCCCAUAGGCUCAUGUCGCCGGUGUAGCCCCCGUAGUAGUAUAGCCACGGGUGGCCAUCGGGAAAUGAAAUUUUGCACGAACGAUGGGCCGAAUCCUUUGCA
This 3288-nucleotide ribosomal RNA is filed under the name Musa schizocarpa. RNAcentral's name for it is "eukaryotic LSU rRNA". The stretch from base 376 to 3288 matches the Rfam family "Eukaryotic large subunit ribosomal RNA". The record is from RNAcentral. Lineage: Eukaryota; Viridiplantae; Streptophyta; Magnoliopsida; Zingiberales; Musaceae.